This 468-nucleotide ribosomal RNA is filed under the name uncultured bacterium. RNAcentral describes it as "partial 16S ribosomal RNA". It matches the Rfam family "Bacterial small subunit ribosomal RNA", at positions 28 to 507 of the family's 1533-position model. The record is from RNAcentral.
GACGAACGCUGGCGGCGUGCUUAACACAUGCAAGUCGAACGGAAAGGCCCUGCUUUUGUGGGGUGCUCGAGUGGCGAACGGGUGAGUAACACGCGAGUAACCUGUCCUUGUCUUUGGGAUAACUUUAGGAAACUGGGGCUAAUACCGGAUAGGAGCUCCUGCUGCAUGGUGGGGGUUGGAAAGUUUCGGCGGUGGGGGCUGGACUCGCGGCUUAUCAGCUUGUUGGUGGGGUAGUGGCUGACCAAGGCUUUGACGGGUAGCCGGCCUGAGAGGGUGACCGGCCACAUUGGGACUGAGAUACGGCCCAGACUCCUACGGGAGGCAGCAGUGGAGAAUAUUGCACAAUGGGCGGAAGCCUGAUGCAGCAACGCCGCGUGCGGGAUGACGGCCUUCGGGUUGUAAACCGCUUUCGCCUGUGACGAAGCGUGAGUGACGGUAAUGGGUAAAGAAGCACCGGCUAACUACGUG